RNAcentral lists this ribosomal RNA (786 nucleotides) under uncultured bacterium. RNAcentral's name for it is "bacterial SSU rRNA". It matches the Rfam family "Bacterial small subunit ribosomal RNA", at positions 8 to 774 of the family's 1533-position model. The record is from RNAcentral.
AGAGUUUGAUCAUGGCUCAGGAUGAACGCUGGCGGCGUGCCUAAUACAUGCAAGUCGAGCGAAUGGAUUAAGAGCUUGCUCUUAUGAAGUUAGCGGCGGACGGGUGAGUAACACGUGGGUAACCUGCCCAUAAGACUGGGAUAACUCCGGGAAACCGGGGCUAAUACCGGAUAACAUUUUGAACCGCAUGGUUCGAAAUUGAAAGGCGGCUUCGGCUGUCACUUAUGGAUGGACCCGCGUCGCAUUAGCUAGUUGGUGAGGUAACGGCUCACCAAGGCAACGAUGCGUAGCCGACCUGAGAGGGUGAUCGGCCACACUGGGACUGAGACACGGCCCAGACUCCUACGGGAGGCAGCAGUAGGGAAUCUUCCGCAAUGGACGAAAGUCUGACGGAGCAACGCCGCGUGAGUGAUGAAGGCUUUCGGGUCGUAAAACUCUGUUGUUAGGGAAGAACAAGUGCUAGUUGAAUAAGCUGGCACCUUGACGGUACCUAACCAGAAAGCCACGGCUAACUACGUGCCAGCAGCCGCGGUAAUACGUAGGUGGCAAGCGUUAUCCGGAAUUAUUGGGCGUAAAGCGCGCGCAGGUGGUUUCUUAAGUCUGAUGUGAAAGCCCACGGCUCAACCGUGGAGGGUCAUUGGAAACUGGGAGACUUGAGUGCAGAAGAGGAAAGUGGAAUUCCAUGUGUAGCGGUGAAAUGCGUAGAGAUAUGGAGGAACACCAGUGGCGAAGGCGACUUUCUGGUCUGUAACUGACACUGAGGCGCGAAAGCGUGGNGGAGCAACA